AUUGAACGCUGGCGGCAGGCCUAACACAUGCAAGUCGAGCGGAUGAAGGGAGCUUGCUCCUGGAUUCAGCGGCGGACGGGUGAGUAAUGCCUAGGAAUCUGCCUGGUAGUGGGGGAUAACGUCCGGAAACGGGCGCUAAUACCGCACACGUCCUGAGGGAGAAAGUGGGGGAUCUUCGGACCUCACGCUAUCAGAUGAGCCUAGGUCGGAUUAGCUAGUUGGUGGGGUAAAGGCCUACCAAGGCGACGAUCCGUAACUGGUCUGAGAGGAUGAUCAGUCACACUGGAACUGAGACACGGUCCAGACUCCUACGGGAGGCAGCAGUGGGGAAUAUUGGGCAAUGGGCGAAAGCCUGAUCCAGCCAUGCCGCGUGUGUGAAGAAGGUCUUCGGAUUGUAAAGCACUUUAAGUUGGGAGGAAGGGCAGUAAGUUAAUACCUUGCUGUUUUGACGUUACCAACAGAAUAAGCACCGGCUAACUUCGUG
Molecule: ribosomal RNA, 484 nt
Filed under: uncultured bacterium
Lineage: Bacteria
Description: partial 16S ribosomal RNA
Rfam family: Bacterial small subunit ribosomal RNA
Source: RNAcentral